Molecule: ribosomal RNA, 465 nt
Filed under: uncultured bacterium
Lineage: Bacteria
Description: partial 16S ribosomal RNA
Rfam family: Bacterial small subunit ribosomal RNA
Source: RNAcentral
CUACGGGGCGCACCAGUGGGGAAUAUUGGACAAUGGGGGAAACCCUGAUCCAGCAAUGCCGCGUGUGUGAAGAAGGCCUGCGGGUUGUAAAGCACUUUCGGUUGGGAGGACUGCUUCUAGCACUAAUAUUGUUGGAAGUUGACGUUACCUUCAGAAGAAGCACCGGCUAACUCCGUGCCAGCAGCCGCGGUAGUAGGGAGGGUGCAAGCGUUAAUCGGAAUUACUGGGCGUAAAGCGCGCGUAGGCGGCUAGAUCAGUCGGGUGUGAAAGCCCCGGGCUUAACCUGGGAACUGCAUCCGAUACUGUCUAGCUUGAGUACAGGAGAGGAGAGUGGAAUUCCACAUGUAGCGGUGAAAUGCGUAGAUAUGUGGAGGAACACCAAUGGCGAAGGCAGCUCUCUGGCCUGAUACUGACGCUGAGGUGCGAAAGCGUGGGGAGCAAACAGGAUUAGAUACCCGGGUAGUC